This 464-nucleotide ribosomal RNA is filed under the name uncultured bacterium. RNAcentral's name for it is "partial 16S ribosomal RNA". It matches the Rfam family "Bacterial small subunit ribosomal RNA", at positions 339 to 795 of the family's 1533-position model. The record is from RNAcentral.
CUACGGGAGGCAGCAGUGGGGAAUAUUGCACAAUGGGCGCAAGCCUGAUGCAGCCAUGCCGCGUGUAUGAAGAAGGCCUUCGGGUUGUAAAGUACUUUCAGCGGGGAGGAAGGGAGUAAAGUUAAUACCUUUGCGCAUUGACGUUACCCGCAGAAGAAGCACCGGCUAACUCCGAGCCAGCAGCCGCGGUAAUACGGAGGGUGCAAGCGUUAAUCGGAAUUACUGGGCGUAAAGCGCACGCAGGCGGUUUGUUAAGUCGGAUGUGAAAUCCCCGGGCUCAACCUGGGAACUGCAUCUGAUACUGGCAAGCUUGAGUCUCGUAGAGGGGGGUAGAAUUCCAGGUGUAGCGGUGAAAUGCGUAGAGAUCUGGAGGAAUACCGGUGGCGAAGGCAGCCCCCUGGACGAAGAUUGACGCUCAGGUGCGAAAGCGUGGGGAGCAAACAGGAUUAGAUACCCCCGUAGUC